UCUCUUGAGCCGGAUUUGAACCAGCAACCUAAGGAUCACCCGUUGAAACACCUACAGUCCUCCGCUCUGCCAACUGAGCUAAUGAGGGU
RNAcentral lists this transfer RNA (89 nucleotides) under Cordylochernes scorpioides. Its description in RNAcentral is "tRNA-Tyr". Lineage: Eukaryota; Metazoa; Arthropoda; Arachnida; Pseudoscorpiones; Chernetidae. The record is from RNAcentral.